GUCCUAGUAGCUUAAACGCUAAAGCACUG
This 29-nucleotide transfer RNA is filed under the name Podarcis tiliguerta. Its description in RNAcentral is "partial tRNA-Thr". Lineage: Eukaryota; Metazoa; Chordata; Lepidosauria; Squamata; Lacertidae. The record is from RNAcentral.